CCUACGGGGGGCAGCAGUGGGGAAUAUUGGGCAAUGGGCGCAAGCCUGACCCAGCAACGCCGCGUGAAGGAAGAAGGCUUUCGGGUUGUAAACUUCUUUUCUCAGGGACGAAGCAAGUGACGGUACCUGAGGAAUAAGCCACGGCUAACUACGUGCCAGCAGCCGCGGUAAUACGUAGGUGGCAAGCGUUAUCCGGAUUUACUGGGUGUAAAGGGCGUGUAGGCGGGAAAGCAAGUCAGAUGUGAAAACCAUGGGCUCAACCUGUGGCCUGCAUUUGAAACUGUUUUUCUUGAGUACUGGAGAGGCAGACGGAAGUCCUAGUGUAGCGGUGAAAUGCGUAGAGAUUAGGAGGAACACCAGUGGCGAAGGCGGUCUGCUGGACAGCAACUGACGCUGAGGCGCGAAAGCGUGGGGAGCAAACAGGAUUAGAUACCCGAGUAGUC
Molecule: ribosomal RNA, 443 nt
Filed under: uncultured bacterium
Lineage: Bacteria
Description: partial 16S ribosomal RNA
Rfam family: Bacterial small subunit ribosomal RNA
Source: RNAcentral